GAUGAACGCUGGCGGCGUGCUUAACACAUGCAAGUCGAACGGAAAGGCCAGUGCUUGCACUGGUACUCGAGUGGCGAACGGGUGAGUAACACGUGGGUGAUCUGCCCUGUACUUCGGGAUAAGCUUGGGAAACUGGGUCUAAUACCGGAUAGGACAACUUUCUGGAUAUUGUUGUGGAAAGCUUUUGCGGUAUGGGAUGAGCUCGCGGCCUAUCAGCUUGUUGGUGGGGUAAUGGCCUACCAAGGCGUCGACGGGUAGCCGGCCUGAGAGGGUGUACGGCCACAUUGGGACUGAGAUACGGCCCAGACUCCUACGGGAGGCAGCAGUGGGGAAUAUUGCACAAUGGGCGCAAGCCUGAUGCAGCGACGCCGCGUGGGGGAUGAAGGCCUUCGGGUUGUAAACUCCUUUCGCUAGGGACGAAGCUUUUUUGUGACGGUACCUGGAGAAGAAGCACCGGCUAACUACGUG
Molecule: ribosomal RNA, 468 nt
Filed under: uncultured bacterium
Lineage: Bacteria
Description: partial 16S ribosomal RNA
Rfam family: Bacterial small subunit ribosomal RNA
Source: RNAcentral